This is a microRNA precursor of Colobus angolensis palliatus, 92 nucleotides long. The record is from Ensembl. NCBI's taxonomy places the organism in Eukaryota, Metazoa, Chordata, Mammalia, Primates, Cercopithecidae.
GAGGUGGGAGGAUCGCUUGAGCCUGGGAGGUUAAGGCUGCAGUGAGCUGUGAUCAUGCCACUGCACUCCAGCCUGAGUGACAGAGCAAGACC